UACGUAGGGUCCGAGCGUUGUCCGGAAUUAUUGGGUGUAAAGAGCUCGUAGGCGGUUUGUCGCGUCUGCUGUGAAAUCCCGAGGCUCAACCUCGGGUCUGCAGUGGGUACGGGCAGACUGGAGUGCGGUAGGGGAGAAUGGAAUUCCUGGUGUAGCGGUGGAAUGCGCAGAUAUCAGGAGGAACACCGAUGGCGAAGGCAGUUCUCUGGGCCGUAACUGACGCUGAGGAGCGAAAGCGUGGGGAGCGAACAGG
RNAcentral lists this ribosomal RNA (253 nucleotides) under uncultured bacterium. RNAcentral's name for it is "partial 16S ribosomal RNA". It matches the Rfam family "Bacterial small subunit ribosomal RNA", at positions 524 to 776 of the family's 1533-position model. The record is from RNAcentral.